GGUGGUUUGUUAAGUUGAAUGUGAAAUCCCCGGGCUCAACCUGGGAACUGCAUUCAAAACUGGCAAGCUAGAGUAUGGUAGAGGGUGGUGGAAUUUCCUGUGUAGCGGUGAAAUGCGUAGAUAUAGGGAAGGAACAGCCGUGGCGAAGGCG
This 151-nucleotide ribosomal RNA is filed under the name uncultured Pseudomonas sp. RNAcentral describes it as "partial 16S ribosomal RNA". It matches the Rfam family "Bacterial small subunit ribosomal RNA", at positions 574 to 723 of the family's 1533-position model. Lineage: Bacteria; Pseudomonadati; Pseudomonadota; Gammaproteobacteria; Pseudomonadales; Pseudomonadaceae. The record is from RNAcentral.